Molecule: ribosomal RNA, 456 nt
Filed under: uncultured bacterium
Lineage: Bacteria
Description: bacterial SSU rRNA
Rfam family: Bacterial small subunit ribosomal RNA
Source: RNAcentral
UACGGAAGGCAGCAGUGGGGAAUAUUGCACAAUGGGCGAAAGCCUGAUGCAGCUAUGCCGCGUGUAUGAAGAAGGCCUUAGGGUUGUAAAGUACUUUCAUCGGGGAGGAAAAAACAAAACUAAUAAUUUUAUUUCUUGACGUUACCCGAAAAAGAAGCACCGGCUAACUCCGUGCCAGCAGCCGCGGUAAUACGGAGGGUGCUAGCGUUAAUCAGAAUUACUGGGCGUAAAGAGCACGUAGGUGGUUUUUUUAAAGUCAGAUGUGAAUCCCUGGGCUUAACCUGGAACUGCAUUUUGAAACUGAAAUACUAGAGUAUCGUAGAGGGAGGUAGAAUUCUAGGUGUAGCGGUGAAAUGCGUAGAUAUCUGGAGGAAUACCUGUGGCGAAAGCGGCCUCCUAAACGAAUACUGACACUGAGGUGCGAAAGCGUGGGGAGCGAAACAGGGAUUAGAUACC